RNAcentral lists this unclassified non-coding RNA (233 nucleotides) under uncultured fungus. Its description in RNAcentral is "sequence contains ITS1, 5.8S rRNA gene". The stretch from base 185 to 233 matches the Rfam family "5.8S ribosomal RNA", at positions 1 to 49 of the family's 154-position model. The record is from RNAcentral. Lineage: Eukaryota; Fungi.
UCUCCGUUGGUGAACCAGCGGAGGGAUCAUUACAGGAUUCGCAAGUCUCCCGUAAACCCCUGUUAACAUACCUAUACUCGUUGCCUCGGCGGGUGCUCCGGUUCACUCCGGGGCACUACGCCCGCCGGUGGCCCGUUACUCUGUCUCGCGCGUUGGCAUCUCCGAGUACAUACAAAUAAGUUAAAACUUUCAACAACGGAUCUCUUGGUUCUGGCAUCGAUGAAGAACGCAGC